Molecule: ribosomal RNA, 465 nt
Filed under: uncultured bacterium
Lineage: Bacteria
Description: partial 16S ribosomal RNA
Rfam family: Bacterial small subunit ribosomal RNA
Source: RNAcentral
GACGAACGCUGGCGGCGUGCUUAACACAUGCAAGUCGAACGGAAAGGCCCUGCUUGCAGGGUACUCGAGUGGCGAACGGGUGAGUAGCACGUGGGUGAUCUGCCCUGCACUUCGGGAUAAGCCUGGGAAACUGGGUCUAAUACCGGAUAGGAGCCAUUUUUAGUGUGAUGGUUGGAAAGUUUUUUCGGUGUAGGAUGAGCUCGCGGCCUAUCAGCUUGUUGGUGGGGUAAUGGCCUACCAAGGCGGCGACGGGUAGCCGGCCUGGGAGGGUGGACGGCCACAUUGGGACUGAGAUACGGCCCAGACUCCUACGGGAGGCAGCAGUGGGGAAUAUUGCACAAUGGGCGCAAGCCUGAUGCAGCGACGCCGCGGGGGGGAUGACGGCCUUCGGGUUGUAAACUCCUUUCGCUAGGGACGAAGCUUUUUGUGACGGUACCUAGAUAAGAAGCACCGGCUAACUACGUG